This 620-nucleotide ribosomal RNA is filed under the name Dothideomycetes sp. A887. RNAcentral describes it as "SSU rRNA". It matches the Rfam family "Bacterial small subunit ribosomal RNA", at positions 434 to 1113 of the family's 1533-position model. Lineage: Eukaryota; Fungi; Ascomycota; Dothideomycetes. The record is from RNAcentral.
GUAUCGAUAAAGAAUAAAAUUCUGGAUAGAUAACUGAUAAUGACAAACUUCUGUUUAUAUGUCUUGACUAAUUCUUGUGCCAGCAGUCGCGGCAACACAAGUAAGACUAGUGUUAUUCAUCUUUAUUAGGUUUAAAAGGUACCUAGACGGCAUUUUAACUGUUAAAAGGUAAAAUUUUUGCUAGAGUUUUAUGUGAGAGGUAAAUAUUAGGACUAUUGGUGUAGAGAUGAAAUUCUUUGAUACUAAUAGAAUGUGUAAUGGCGAAGGUAACCCUCUAUGUAUAAACUGACGUUGAGGGACGAAGGCUUGGGGAGCAAAUAGGAUUAGAUACCCUAGUAGUCCAGGCAGAAAAUUAUGAAUGUUAUAGACUAUAAAGUUAGUGUAUAAAUGAAAGUGUAAGCAUUCUACCUCAUGAGUAAUGUGGCAACGCAGGAAUUGAAAUCAUUAGACCGUUUCUGAAACCAGUAGUGAAGUAUGUUAUUUAAUUCGAUGACCCUCGAAAAACCUUACCACAGUUUGGAUAGUAUUUAUUGAAAUAUUACAGGUGUUGCACGGCUGUCUAAAGCUAAUGUCGUGAGAUUUUGGUUAGAUCCAUUAAAUUAGCGUAAUCCCUUACUUUA